UUGGUCCUACGGGGGGCAGCAGUGGGGAAUAUUGGGCAAUGGACGCAAGUCUGACCCAGCAACGCCGCGUGAAGGAAGAAGGCUUUCGGGUUGUAAACUUCUUUUAAGGGGGAAGAGUAGAAGACGGUACCCCUUGAAUAAGCCACGGCUAACUACGUGCCAGCAGCCGCGGUAAUACGUAGGUGGCAAGCGUUGUCCGGAUUUACUGGGUGUAAAGGGCGUGCAGCCGGAGAGACAAGUCAGAUGUGAAAUCCGCAGGCUCAACCUGCGAACUGCAUUUGAAACUGUUUCCCUUGAGUAUCGGG
Molecule: ribosomal RNA, 305 nt
Filed under: uncultured bacterium
Lineage: Bacteria
Description: bacterial SSU rRNA
Rfam family: Bacterial small subunit ribosomal RNA
Source: RNAcentral